UCCCUCAUAGUUCAGUUGGUAAAGAAUCUGCCUGCAAUGCAGGAGACCCAGGUUCGAUUCCUGGGUUGGGAA
Molecule: transfer RNA, 72 nt
Filed under: Muntiacus reevesi (Reeves' muntjac)
Lineage: Eukaryota; Metazoa; Chordata; Mammalia; Artiodactyla; Cervidae
Also listed under: 6 other names
Rfam family: tRNA
About the family: Transfer RNA (tRNA) molecules are approximately 80 nucleotides in length. Their secondary structure includes four short double-helical elements and three loops (D, anti-codon, and T loops). Further hydrogen bonds mediate the characteristic L-shaped molecular structure. tRNAs have two regions of fundamental functional importance: the anti-codon, which is responsible for specific mRNA codon recognition, and the 3' end, to which the tRNAs corresponding amino acid is attached (by aminoacyl-tRNA synthetases). tRNAs cope with the degeneracy of the genetic code in two manners: having more than one tRNA (with a specific anti-codon) for a particular amino acid; and 'wobble' base-pairing, i.e. permitting non-standard base-pairing at the 3rd anti-codon position.
Source: Rfam by way of RNAcentral